This 530-nucleotide ribosomal RNA is filed under the name Alteromonas sp. RNAcentral's name for it is "bacterial SSU rRNA". It matches the Rfam family "Bacterial small subunit ribosomal RNA", at positions 381 to 903 of the family's 1533-position model. The record is from RNAcentral. Lineage: Bacteria; Pseudomonadati; Pseudomonadota; Gammaproteobacteria; Alteromonadales; Alteromonadaceae.
ACCUGAUGCAGCCAUGCCGCGUGUGUGAAGAAGGCCUUCGGGUUGUAAAGCACUUUCAGUUGUGAGGAAAAGUUAGUAGYUAAUACCUGCUAGCCGUGACGUUAACAACAGAAGAAGCACCGGCUAACUCCGUGCCAGCAGCCGCGGUAAUACGGAGGGUGCGAGCGUUAAUCGGAAUUACUGGGCGUAAAGCGCACGCAGGCGGUUUGUUAAGCUAGAUGUGAAAGCCCCGGGCUCAACCUGGGAUGGUCAUUUAGAACUGGCAGACUAGAGUCUUGGAGAGGGGAGUGGAAUUCCAGGUGUAGCGGUGAAAUGCGUAGAUAUCUGGAGGAACAUCAGUGGCGAAGGCGACUCCCUGGCCAAAGACUGACGCUCAUGUGCGAAAGUGUGGGUAGCGAACAGGAUUAGAUACCCUGGUAGUCCACACCGUAAACGCUGUCUACUAGCUGUGUGUGCCUUUAAGGCGUGCGUAGCGAAGCUAACGCGCUAAGUAGACCGCCUGGGGAGUACGGCCGCAAGGUUAAAACUCA